RNAcentral lists this transfer RNA (74 nucleotides) under Lepisosteus oculatus (spotted gar). It matches the Rfam family "tRNA". From Rfam's summary of the family: Transfer RNA (tRNA) molecules are approximately 80 nucleotides in length. Their secondary structure includes four short double-helical elements and three loops (D, anti-codon, and T loops). Further hydrogen bonds mediate the characteristic L-shaped molecular structure. tRNAs have two regions of fundamental functional importance: the anti-codon, which is responsible for specific mRNA codon recognition, and the 3' end, to which the tRNAs corresponding amino acid is attached (by aminoacyl-tRNA synthetases). tRNAs cope with the degeneracy of the genetic code in two manners: having more than one tRNA (with a specific anti-codon) for a particular amino acid; and 'wobble' base-pairing, i.e. permitting non-standard base-pairing at the 3rd anti-codon position. Lineage: Eukaryota; Metazoa; Chordata; Actinopteri; Semionotiformes; Lepisosteidae. The record is from Rfam by way of RNAcentral.
GGCACCCUGGCUUAGUUGGUUAAAGUGCCUGCUGAUGAAACAGGAGAUCCUGGGUUCAAAUCCCACGUGUGUUU